This 484-nucleotide ribosomal RNA is filed under the name uncultured bacterium. RNAcentral describes it as "partial 16S ribosomal RNA". It matches the Rfam family "Bacterial small subunit ribosomal RNA", at positions 28 to 507 of the family's 1533-position model. The record is from RNAcentral.
GUUGAACGCUGGCGGCAGGCCUAACACAUGCAAGUCGAGCGGAUGAAGGGAGCUUGCUCCUGGAUUCAGCGGCGGACGGGGGAGUAAUGCCUAGGAAUCUGCCGCGUAGUGGGGGAUAACGUCCGGAAACGGGCGCUAAUACCGCAUACGACCUGCGGGAGAAACUGGGGGGGCGUCGGAACGCACGCUCUCAGAUGAGCGUAGGUCGGGUUAGCUAGUUGGUGGGGUGAAGGCCUACCAAGGCGAGGAUUCGCAAAUGGUCGGAGAGGCUGAUCAGUCACAUUGGAACGUAGACACGGACAAUACUCCUACGGGAGGGAGCAGAGUGGAACAUUGGGCAAUGGGGGAAAGCCUUAUACAGCCAGGCCGCGUGUGUGAAGAAGGCCUCGGGAGUGGAAAGCACUUCAAGUUGGGAGGAACGGCAUUAAGCUAAUACCUUGCUGGUUUGACGGUACCAACAGAAGAAGCACCGGCUAACUUCGUG